RNAcentral lists this ribosomal RNA (440 nucleotides) under uncultured bacterium. RNAcentral's name for it is "partial 16S ribosomal RNA". It matches the Rfam family "Bacterial small subunit ribosomal RNA", at positions 338 to 795 of the family's 1533-position model. The record is from RNAcentral.
CCUACGGGAGGCAGCAGUGGGGAAUAUUGCACAAUGGGGGAAACGCUGAUGCAGCCACGCCGCGUGAGUGAAGAAGUAAUUCUUUAUGUAAAGCUCUAUCAGCAGGGAAGAAAAUGACGGUACCUGAGUAAGAAGCCCCGGCUAAAUACGUGCCAGCAGCCGCGGUAAUCCGUGGGGGGCAAGCGUUAUCCGGCUGUACUGGGUGUAAUGGGAGCGUAGGCGGCAGUUCAAGGCUGGAGUGAAAGGCGGGGGCUCAACCACCGGACUGCUCUGGAAACUGUACGGCUUGAGUGCACGAGAGGUAAGUGGAAUUCGUAGUGUAGCGGUGAAAUGCGUAGAUAGUAGGAGGAACACCAGUGGCGAAGGCGGCUUACUGGACUGUAACUGACGUUGAGGCUCGAAAGCGUGGGGAGCAAACAGGAUUAGAUACCCUUGUAGUC